RNAcentral lists this transfer RNA (65 nucleotides) under Striatobalanus tenuis. RNAcentral's name for it is "tRNA-Asn". The record is from RNAcentral. Lineage: Eukaryota; Metazoa; Arthropoda; Thecostraca; Balanomorpha; Balanidae.
UUAAUUAUAGCUAAUAAAGCAAUAUCACUGUUAAUGAUAAGAUAAGUUUUUAAACUUUAAUUAAG